AUGGAAGGCUACAAUGGCACCAUCUUUGCCUGUGGCAGUGGGGAAUCCUUCACCAUGCAGGGAGCUGCAGAUUCUGCCUCACAGAAAGGGAUCAUCCCCAGGGUGUUUGAACACAUCUUUGAGAGUGUGCAGGGCUUCUCCCUGCUGGGGCUGCUCACCUGGAGCAAAUCCAGCUCCCUGCCUCAAUCCCCAGGUGGAUCUGGAAGCAGAGAAGCAGCUGAUCAGAGCACUGACACACAGACUAGAACAAUCUCUGACCACACACCUUCACAUGAAGAUGCUGUUGCUGCAGCACAUGAAGAGCCAACAUCAGCCCAGGCUCCUUCUCCCCUCAGGAUGAAUAACCCUGAGAAUUUGUGGGCAAUUCUGUCUGUUAAGGGAGAGAUCUCCAAAGAAACCCUUCAUUUGGAUUUGAUAUCAACAUUCCCUGAGUGGGUAAUAUUGUGCUUCAUCUCCCCCAAUAAUCCUGUUUCAGGGGCACUGAAAUAGGGCUGGGAUAUGAGAAAUGCAGGCUUGGACUCGUGCUCAGCCCAAAUCAAAAUCAACCUGGCUCAAGGUUUUCUCUGUGUGAGAGAAUUCCCUCAGCCAGAGCACACCACCACUUAUUGGGGCAGCAUGGGGGCUUGGGCUGCUCCAGAAAUACAAAUUCUGGUUUUUCACUUCCUCCAUUGUGUGGAACUAGAUACAAUUAGAAAAGCUCAAGCUAAGAUAUGCUGUGACAGUCUGAUUCUGAACAGUUCUGUGGGUUUUAACCUGUCCUUCUGUGGGUUUUAACCUGUUCUUCUGUGGGUUUUAACCAGUUCUUCUGUGGGUUUUAACCUGUCCUUCUGUGGGUUUUAACCUGUCCUUCUGUGGGUUUUAACCAGUCCUUCUGUGGGUUUUAACCAGUCCUUCUGUAGGUUUUAACCAGUCUUUCAGCUUCCCUGUGGUGUGUGCUCACUCUGUUGGGUCUCUCCUGGCUCAAACAGGAGCUGCUAUGAAAUGCAGAACAGCAGUGCCUGUAAUUUGUGGGUAAUUCUGUCUGUUAAGGGAGAGAUCUCCAAAGAAACCCUUCAUUUGGAUUAGAUAUCAAAUGUUAGUGCUCCUAUUGUAAAAAUAAAUCCUUUUGUGGCAAACA
Molecule: long non-coding RNA, 1117 nt
Filed under: Zonotrichia albicollis (white-throated sparrow)
Lineage: Eukaryota; Metazoa; Chordata; Aves; Passeriformes; Passerellidae
Description: lncRNA (ENSZALG00000017476.1)
Source: RNAcentral